GACGAACGCUGGCGGCGUGCUUAACACAUGCAAGUCGAACGGAAAGGCCCUGCUUUUGUGGGGUGCUCGAGUGGCGAACGGGUGAGUAACACGUGAGUAACCUGCCCUUGACUUUGGGAUAACUUCAGGAAACUGGGGCUAAUACCGGAUAGGAGCUCCUGCUGCAUGGUGGGGGUUGGAAAGUUUCGGCGGUUGGGGAUGGACUCGCGACUUAUCAGCUUGUUGGUGGGGUAGUGGCUUACCAAGGCUUUGACGGGUAGCCGGCCUGAGAGGGUGACCGGCCACAUUGGGACUGAGAUACGGCCCAGACUCCUACGGGAGGCAGCGGUGGGGAAUAUUGCACAAUGGGCGGAAGCCUGAUGCAGCAACGCCGCGUGCGGGAUGACGGCCUUCGGGUUGUAAACCGCUUUCGCCUGUGACGAAGCGUGAGUGACGGUAAUGGGUAAAGAAGCACCGGCUAACUACGUG
Molecule: ribosomal RNA, 468 nt
Filed under: uncultured bacterium
Lineage: Bacteria
Description: partial 16S ribosomal RNA
Rfam family: Bacterial small subunit ribosomal RNA
Source: RNAcentral